Caretta caretta (loggerhead turtle) is the source of this 3727-nucleotide non-coding RNA. Lineage: Eukaryota; Metazoa; Chordata; Testudines; Cheloniidae. The record is from RefSeq and is a predicted model, not a curated record.
GGCGAGGCCAAGCCCUCACCUUGUCCUGCUUGAUCUUCAUGAGGACCCUGUUGAUUAAAGACACUGGUAGGAAGGCAUACAUUAGGGCCCCCAAUCACAGGAGUAAGAAGGCAUCAUACAGGGAGCCUCUGUCGAUCCCCCAAAUUAAGCAGAAUACAUGGCACUUCCUGUUCUAUCUGGACGUGAACAAGUCCACUCAGGGAGUUCCCCACCUCUGGAAGAUCAUGCUGACCACCUCCAGGUGGAGUGACCACUCGUGGAGAUAUGAGACAGUCCUGUUGAGGGGAUCUGCCAACAUGUUCCUGGCCCCGGGAGGUGCACUGUCACAAGAUGGAUGGCAUGCUGCACACAGAAGUCCCACAGCCAAAGAACUUCUUGGCAAAGCGCUGAUGACCUGGCUCCGCCUUGCUUGUUGAUAUAAAACAUUGUGGCGGUGUUGUUCAUCAGGAUCUGGAUUACCUUGCCCCUCAAAUGAGGCAGGAAAGCCUGGCUGGCCAAGGAAAUUGCUCUGAGCUUUCUGAUGUUUAUGUGGAGGGAGAGAUCAUCUUGUGACCAAUGACCUUGCGUGCUGAGAUCAGCCAGGUGCCUCUUGGGGAUGCAGACUGAUGCCAGCCAUGCUUGCAGGGGUCUGAGAUGGAGCUGGGCAUGACGUACCAUGUAGAGUACAGGCUGCCAUGUGGCCUAACAACCUUAGGCAUCUGUAAGCGGUGGUGAGCGGGCAGGCCCUCACAUGCAAGAUCAGGUCUGUCAUGGCUCAGAAACGGGCCUCUGGGAGGAAGCCCCUUGCCCGCAUGGAGUUGAGGACCGCCCCCGCUAUGAAUUCUGUUUGUUGUGCCAGUAUUAGGGUUGAUUUCUUUUAGUUUAUUAAGAGGCCCAGAUCAUGACAUGUGGAAUGUACCUGAUCUCGGCCCAAAGUCCAGAGUUUGGUCAAGAGAUCAGAGGCCUAGCAAUAGCUAAGAGAAAGCAAAAUAACCAAAGAUAACCUUGCUUUUGCUAAGAUAUGCCUGGUCAGCAAAACGCCAGAUAUUGGGGGCAAUAAUUGUGUCUUAUUCAAAGUUGCAAAUAGAACAAAGAAGCCCUGUUUCUGUUGUGUUAGUUUCUUCUGUAGGGAGAUGUUCUUCCCACACAUCCAACCUUGAGUUUAUGAAAGGUUCAAGCAUGUCAGUGUAAGAUAUGGCCUCCUCCCACCUCCCUUUCCCAGGGACCAAUGCCUACCUUAAAACACAAAUGAACAACUUAAAAGACAAUCUUUAUUGCCAUAUACUUUCACUGUUUCUUUGCUUGGCCAAAAGGAGCUACUUCAUUCCUAGGGACCCCAACUCAGAAUUCAUCUUAUAUAUAUUAUACUAAUACAUUAAUUAAAGUACUAAUUAAAUGUUAAUUUGUGAACUUAAGACCAUAGGCAGAGACAUUAUGUAACCUUUGACCAUUGGCUACUGUGCUAUCACGUCUUGCAGCUAAACCUAUCUGAGGGUGUGGGACUGCCUACCCCGUUACUUUCCCCCGCCCAUGGAAAAUCCAUAUAUUCCAUUGUAAUCAAUUGAUUGACAGGGUCUCUGAGCCUAACAUAUGAGGUGACACUCAGUCAGCGCUGUAUGUAAUAAACUCCUGUGCUUGACCUCUACACAGUGUGGAUUUAUGUCCUUCAGUUUGGGGGCUUGUCCGGGAUACAGGCUUGUGAGCUGACUGAGGAUCUGAGACCGAAAUCCAAAAAAGAAGGUGAACAAAAGGAAGUGAAGGAGGAAGGACUGAAGGGUGACCAGGACAACCGGAGUGACCAUGGGGAGGCUCCUGCUGUCCCUGUGGUGCAUGUGGAAGGACGCAAGCAGUGUGCCAUGUGAAAAGGAGGACUGGGAAUGGGUCACUAACCCCCCUCCUCCGGGUUUGCUUCACUUUAAUUGCCGCACUAAAGAAACUUAGCUUUUGCAGAACACAUGCAGUGGCCAAUAAACAAGUCUGGCCAGAGGUAAUGGUGGCACUAUGGUUAGGACAUGAGCACACGUGGAACGUAAAAAGGUCCAAAUAAAAUCAUACACUGAUGCUCAUAACAACAGGGAGACUAGUAACAUUACAAUUUUGAUAACAGCUGACUGCCCUGUUAUUCGCGGGUGUCAGGUGCCAGAGAUUAUGGAGUUUAAUGGAGGCAUUUGGAAGGACUCAGGAAGUACAUGAGUUACCCCUUUGAGCAGGGUGACACCCUUAGACGAUGCUGUGGCCCUCUUAGAGGGACAGUGUCUAUACUUAAUGCAACCAGUGUCCGGAUUACCUUUAAAGGGGGACAGCUGCGUACUACUAGUGAAGGGGAAUACAAGGUCCUGGGUUAUCCCUCAUUUGAACAUAAUUACAUGGCAUAUUGCCACGAUGGCUUGGCUUUACACAGGGAACUGUAACUGAUCUCUGAUCUCCUUGAUGGCCGGGUCCACCCAGCCCUUAUGGAAGUGGUGGGACCCUAUGUCCCUAGUACCCCUCCGUGGGCAUAGGGAAACAGAGAAUCAAUGAGAGUCCAAAGACCGGUUUAGACAGGUCACAGUAUACUCUUUAACCUUUUGGUAUCUCUGGGCAUCCCUCAUUUACAGCAAGCCAGGAUGGUGACCUCCAUACCAGUAUGGAGGAGGGGUCAUGUUAUUAAGAUAGAAAGCGUUGCAUACUCCAAGGUUGCUGGGAGAGCACUGCAUCCUAUUGAACGUUGCACCCACUUGAAUAAGGAAAUUGUGUGUACAUGCCCAUAUAAUAUUCUAAUGAAUCAGUCUACGUUCAAAGUGGCCAUCACGGAGAAACUGGUACACACGGAGCUGGUCCAGAUGAACUGUACCUACUGGUGUGUGACUGCCCAAUACCACUCCAUCAAGUUAAAUGGAAAGCUCUGCCCCUCAAGGCAUCCAGCCGUGUGCAUAACGGUUUCCCGAAGGGCAACCCUGACUGUUGAUGGGACGCAGCUCCACCAUACUCCGCCAAUGAUGGGUAAACUAACAUGGGAUCCGGAAUGUCACUACGGCAGUAAGUAUCUAGAGGAGGGUCUACAGGCCCUGCAGGCAAAGAUCGAGGAGUUGGUGGCCAAGGCCCAGAGAUAUAUUAGGGAAGGCCGUCUGAGGUACACCCUGAUAGGGGAAACCGUGGACCAGGCCGCUGUGAAGUACUCAAAGGUGCAGAACCAGGCAGGGGAGGUUAAAACGAUGAUCAUUGGCGAUGCCAUCUCAGGUGAUAAGGUCCCCUGGGGAUGGAUCUGGGUGCUAUUUUGUCAAGUUAUGUGGGGAGUCUAUCCUGACAUUCCUGAUGGUAUUGGUGCUUUACCGGUGACUCCGAAAUAGACUGGGUACAUUGAAAUUGGUAUAUUUGACCUGGCGGGUUAGGAAACCCUAGGGUCAAGAGGAGGGACUGAAGGGUUAAAAUCCAUUGCUGAUGUAAUAAUGUGGUAUAUGGAUUUGUGUUUUUUAUACUAAUACAUUAAAGUAUUAACUAAAUGUUAAUUUGUGAACUUGAGACCAUGGGUGGAGACAUUAUGUAACCUUUGACCAUUGGCUACUGUGCUAUCAUGUCUUGCAGCUAAACCUAUCUGGGGGUGGGGGCAGGGGGGCAGUGUAGGACUGCCUACCCAGUCACUUUCCCCUGCCCAUGGGAAAUCCAUAUAUUCCAUUGUAAUCAAUUGAUUGACAGUAUCUCUGAGCCUAACAAGCGAGGUGACACUCCGCCAGUGCUGUACGUAAUAAACUCCUGUGCUUGACCUCUA